RNAcentral lists this ribosomal RNA (468 nucleotides) under uncultured bacterium. RNAcentral's name for it is "partial 16S ribosomal RNA". It matches the Rfam family "Bacterial small subunit ribosomal RNA", at positions 28 to 507 of the family's 1533-position model. The record is from RNAcentral.
GACGAACGCUGGCGGCGUGCUUAACACAUGCAAGUCGAACGGAAAGGCCCUGCUUUUGUGGGGUGCUCGAGUGGCGAACGGGUGAGUAACACGUGAGUAACAUGCCCUUGACUUAGGGAUAACUUCAGGAGACUGGGGCUAAUACCGGAUAGGAGCUCCUGCUGCAUGGUGGGGGUUGGAAAGAUUCGGCGGUUGGGGAUGGACUCGCGGCUUAUCAGCUUGUUGGUGGGGUAGUGGCUUACCAAGGCUUUGACGGGUAGCCGGCCUGAGAGGGUGACCGGCCACAUUGGGACUGAGAGACGGCGCAGAAUCCUACGGGAGGCAGCAGUGGGGAAUAUGGCACAAUGGGCGGAAGCCAGAUGCAGCAACGCCGCGUGCGGGAUGACGGCCUUCGGGUUGUAAACCGCUUUCGCCUGUGACGAAGCGUGAGUGACGGUAAUGGGUAAAGAAGCACCGGCUAACUACGUG